UCGGUCUUCCUUCUCCAUCUAUCAAUGGUUGUUUAGGUGUGAAAUUAAUCCUAUUAACCUUGAUUAGACCAUUGUACUGAAUAUGCGAAGAAUCUAAACUAGCCAGUGACUACCAUGAUAAAAGUUGUACUGGAUAAGUUAGUUUUGCUGAGAACUGAACAUGGGUCAAAUUAGUAUUAGGUUAAUCAAGUUGUUUCAAUUGGUAUUAGCAGUCAUGACUCGCUUUUGACCACUUAGCCGAACCAUCCUUGCUUGAAUUACACACGUUUCUAAGCUUUUGAGGUUCAAUUGCCAUGUGGCCAUGAAUAUGACCCAGAAAUUGGAUAUGUGACCAAGAAAUACAGCCACUGUACUUUCUCCAGGCAUUCUCUCGUCAACCAGGAAAUCACUUUUCUGUACAAGUAAAAUACUUUUCAAACUACGCCAAAAAUUAACCAUUAUCUUUUUCUUGGCCAUCUGUGAUGCAUGCUUGAUCCGGUUAAAAAGAAGAUGACAACAAGUGCUUGAUGUAAUCUCAUCAGUAUAACAUCUGCCGCAAUUAAUUUCUUGAUAUUUCCAACACUGACAAAGACAAGGUCAUCGCUACUACCUCUCCGAAGGCCCUGGCAAGUACGUGUUGCUACCAAGGAAAAUAUGCUUUCUCAUCAUUUUUGCAGCAUGCAUUAGAAAGUUCAAAGUUUAUAUCCUCGAAUAAAUUUCUUCAUGAAGGUGCAUCAGGGUGACCAUCCACCAUUGUUUCUUCGAAAGCACGCGGCAGAGGCACCCACACCCGCGGUUCAGCAAGAUCUACAUUUCCAACAACUACACCAAGGACUGGGGCAUAUACGCCAUAUGCACCUGCGUCGAAGCUCAGCGUAACAUAUAUGGAGGACAGAAGACGACUGCUUUCAAAUACAUGCCGGAGAAGGCUGCCGACAGAGAAGAGACGACAGCAGGAGCAGAGCCUCUCUCCUGCAAGGCCUUAGGCAUC
Molecule: long non-coding RNA, 970 nt
Organism: Triticum aestivum (bread wheat)
Lineage: Eukaryota; Viridiplantae; Streptophyta; Magnoliopsida; Poales; Poaceae
Exons: 5
Source: RefSeq, a predicted model, not a curated record